UACGUAUGGUGCAAGCGUUAUCCGGAUUUACUGGGUGUAAAGGGAGCGUAGGCGGCCAUGUAAGUCAGAAGUGAAAGCCCGGGGCUCAACCCCGGGACUGCUUUUGAGACUGUGUGGCUGGAGUGUCGGAGGGGUAAGUGGAAUUCCUAGUGUAGCGGUGAAAUGCGUAGAUAUUAGGAGGAACACCAGUGGCGAAGGCGGCUUACUGGACGAUCACUGACGCUGAGGCUCGAAAGCGUGGGGAGCAAACAGG
Molecule: ribosomal RNA, 253 nt
Filed under: uncultured bacterium
Lineage: Bacteria
Description: partial 16S ribosomal RNA
Rfam family: Bacterial small subunit ribosomal RNA
Source: RNAcentral